This 274-nucleotide ribosomal RNA is filed under the name uncultured bacterium. Its description in RNAcentral is "partial 16S ribosomal RNA". It matches the Rfam family "Bacterial small subunit ribosomal RNA", at positions 523 to 796 of the family's 1533-position model. The record is from RNAcentral.
AUACGGAGGGUGCAAGCGUUAAUCGGAAUUACUGGGCGUAAAGCGUGCGUAGGUGGUUUGUUAAGUCAGAUGUGAAAGCCCCGGGCUCAACCUGGGAACUGCAUUUGAAACUGGCAUACUAGAGUAUAGGAGAGGAAAGUGGAAUUUCAGGUGUAGCGGUGAAAUGCGUAGAUAUCUGAAGGAACAUCAAUGGCGAAGGCAGCUUUCUGGACUAAUACUGACACUGCGGUACGAAAGCGUGGGUAGCAAACAGGAUUAGAAACCCUAGUAGUCC